AUGAAUGAUAUAGCACGAGGCGAUAUAACACGAGGUAAUAUACCACAAGGUGAUAUAACACGAGGCGAUACAACACGAGGUAAUAUAUCACAAGAUGAUACAACACGAGGCGAUGUUACACGAGGUGAUAUAACACGAGGCAAUAUAACACAAGGCGAUAUAACACGAGGUGAUAUUACAGAAGGUGAUAUGACACGAGGUGAUAUAACAUGAGGUGAUAUAACACGUAGUGAAAUAGCGUGUAGCAAUGCAGCAUGUAGUAAUCUAUCAGUUCAGAACCUAAAGGGAUUUCUUUGUGGUCAUAUAACGUGUAAGACUAUAAAAUUUAAAUCCCCUACAUAUUUUAUAAAUGCCUCCACUGUUAUCUUAAAACAACGAUUUUUCAUUUAAACAUUAUAAGUCUAGUUAAUACAGUUCGUGGUAUCCAUACGGGAGAACGACAUAGACGCGUUGAUGGAAUCUGUGCCAUAUAUGGCGACGGGAUCCGUGUCAGCGAUAAAACUGUUGAACCAUAAUAUCAACAGAAAGAAGUUCGAGAACUUAUUCGAUCGAAUGUGCAGGCAGUGGGAGAUCUCUGAGAUCAACGGCGAAAUACACGUCCUGAACGAAGUCACUGAGCAGGGAACUAAAAUGGGUGCUCUAUACAGAACUUCCCUAUGGGUGUUUAUGUUACUAUUCUUGUCUCUGCCGUUGUCUGCCCCGAUACUGGACUUUGUUUCACAGUCCAACAAAACUCGAACAAAGAUACCGUUGUUCAAGUUGAAUUACAUCGUAAAUACCGACGACUACUUUUACUUCGUGUAUCUGCAUUCGGUUUGUUGUUCACUGACGAUAGUGAUAGUUAUAAUCGCUAUGGAUUCCUUGUACAUGGUUAUCUUUCAUUACAUCUGUGGAGUAUUUGCUCUGUGCGGGUACCAAAUAAAGAAGGCAGCGGAAAUCAUGGAAAUGGAUAGUACUUUAAGAAAUGAGCGUAAAUAUCAUUUGUUCAAACGUUGCGUGAACACUCAUCAUGAAGCCAUCAAAUUCUACGAGUACAUGGUCGACAGUACUCGCACCAGUUAUCUGUUUCAAGUCGCUCUGAACAUGCUGGGAAUAACUUCAACUGCAGUUCAAGCAGUGAUGAACUUCAAUCGGCCGGAAGAAGCGUUUAGAAUUUUAAUCUUCCUGUUUGGUCAACAGUUUCAUCUGUAUGCUUUAAGCCUGCCUGGCCAAGUACUUCUGGAUCGAAGUUCCGUAUUAGCCGAGGAUAUGAAAGAUAUUUUCAGAUACUUUUCCAAAUGGCACGAAGUACCCGUGAAAUUUCAGAAAGUGCUUCACAUAAUGUUAGUCAGGGCCAGCAAACCGUGUAAGUUGUCAGCAGGAGGAAUAUACGAUAUGAACAUGGAAAAUUUUGGUUCGAUUGUUAAGACGUGCGUGUCAUAUUUUACAAUUCUGUUGUCGCUGAGGGAGUGAUGUCGACAAUAAGAACGUCGCAAGAGGGAAGAAAAUUUAAAUCUCCAAACACCGAUAUUACAUAAGUGCCACCAAUAUUUGCACAAAACACUGCACAAGAAAUUGCACAUAAACAACUGUACCUAACCAAGCCAUAAACUGAAGAACUUAUUACCA
RNAcentral lists this unclassified non-coding RNA (1608 nucleotides) under Megachile rotundata (alfalfa leafcutting bee). RNAcentral describes it as "odorant receptor Or2-like, transcript variant X2". The record is from RNAcentral. Lineage: Eukaryota; Metazoa; Arthropoda; Insecta; Hymenoptera; Megachilidae.